RNAcentral lists this ribosomal RNA (253 nucleotides) under uncultured bacterium. Its description in RNAcentral is "partial 16S ribosomal RNA". It matches the Rfam family "Bacterial small subunit ribosomal RNA", at positions 524 to 776 of the family's 1533-position model. The record is from RNAcentral.
UACGUAGGGUGCAGGCGUUAAUCGGAAUUACUGGGCGUAAAGCGUGCGCAGGCGGUCUGCUAAGACAGGUGUGAAAUCCCCGGGCUUAACCUGGGAACUGCGCUUGUAACUGGCAGGCUUGAGUGUGGCAGAGGGGGGUGGAAUUCCAGGUGUAGCAGUGAAAUGCGUAGAGAUGUGGAGGAACACCGAUGGCGAAGGCAGCCUCCUGGGCCAAUACUGACGCUCAUGCACGAAAGCGUGGGGAGCAAACAGG